RNAcentral lists this ribosomal RNA (765 nucleotides) under uncultured Streptococcus sp. RNAcentral's name for it is "bacterial SSU rRNA". It matches the Rfam family "Bacterial small subunit ribosomal RNA", at positions 28 to 776 of the family's 1533-position model. The record is from RNAcentral. Lineage: Bacteria; Bacillati; Bacillota; Bacilli; Lactobacillales; Streptococcaceae.
GACGAACGCUGGCGGCGUGCCUAAUACAUGCAAGUAGAACGCUGAAGAGAGGAGCUUGCUCUUCUUGGAUGAGUUGCGAACGGGUGAGUAACGCGUAGGUAACCUGCCUGGUAGCGGGGGAUAACUAUUGGAAACGAUAGCUAAUACCGCAUAAAAUUGAUUAUUGCAUGAUAAUUAAUUGAAAGAUGCAAUUGCAUCACUACCAGAUGGACCUGCGUUGUAUUAGCUAGUUGGUGAGGUAACGGCUCACCAAGGCGACGAUACAUAGCCGACCUGAGAGGGUGAUCGGCCACACUGGGACUGAGACACGGCCCAGACUCCUACGGGAGGCAGCAGUAGGGAAUCUUCGGCAAUGGGGGGAACCCUGACCGAGCAACGCCGCGUGAGUGAAGAAGGUUUUCGGAUCGUAAAGCUCUGUUGUAAGAGAAGAACGGGUGUGAGAGUGGAAAGUUCACACUGUGACGGUAUCUUACCAGAAAGGGACGGCUAACUACGUGCCAGCAGCCGCGGUAAUACGUAGGUCCCGAGCGUUGUCCGGAUUUAUUGGGCGUAAAGCGAGCGCAGGCGGUUAGAUAAGUCUGAAGUUAAAGGCUGUGGCUUAACCAUAGUAUGCUUUGGAAACUGUUUAACUUGAGUGCAGAAGGGGAGAGUGGAAUUCCAUGUGUAGCGGUGAAAUGCGUAGAUAUAUGGAGGAACACCGGUGGCGAAAGCGGCUCUCUGGUCUGUAACUGACGCUGAGGCUCGAAAGCGUGGGGAGCAAACAGG